Molecule: ribosomal RNA, 497 nt
Filed under: uncultured bacterium
Lineage: Bacteria
Description: partial 16S ribosomal RNA
Rfam family: Bacterial small subunit ribosomal RNA
Source: RNAcentral
GGGGGGGGGGGGGGGGGGGGCGGGGGGGGGGGGGGCGGGCGGGGGGGGGGGGGGCGGGCGCCUGGGGCGGUAGCGGCGGGGGGGGGAGUACCACGUGGGGAACCUGCCUAUCAGGCUGGGAUAACUUCGGGAAACCGGAGCUAAUCCCGGAUCACAUGUUGAACCGCAUGGUUCACCAGUGCAAGACGGUCUUGCUGUCACUUAUAGAUGGAUCCGCGCCGCCUUAGCUAGUUGGUAAGGUAACGGCUUACCAAGGCAACGAUGCGUAGCCGACCUGAGCGGGUGAUCGGCCACACUGGAACUGAGACACGGUCCAGACUCCUACGGGAGGCAGCAGUAGGGAAUCUUCCGCAAUGGGCGAAAGCCUGACGGAGCAACGCCGCGUGAGUGAAGAAGGUCUUCGGAUCGUAAAACUCUGUUAUUAGGGAAGAACAAAUGUGUAAGUAACUAUGCACGUCUUGACGGUACCUAAUCAGAAAGCCACGGCUAACUACGUG